CAUUUUAAAUGGAGAAGCAAGAGGAAUAUUAAUAGAGAUAUUAGCAAGUUGUAUGAUAAAAAUUAAUAUAAACCCUACUUUUGAAGAAUUUCAAAUCGUGUCCAAAAAAUUAUGCGAAUUAUUUCCAACUGAGACUGAGGCUACAUACGUAUAUGAACCUUUUGCAAAUGGUCCAAAGCAAAAAAAUAUCGGGGGAAAAUUAGCUGAUAAAGUGAGAAAUAUUAAGUCUAUGUUGAGGAGACUUGGUGCACUUAAUCCAGCCAAUUAUCAUAAAUAUUCAAAUUCUACACAGAAUGAAAAUGAUGAAAA
Molecule: non-coding RNA, 309 nt
Organism: Linepithema humile (Argentine ant)
Lineage: Eukaryota; Metazoa; Arthropoda; Insecta; Hymenoptera; Formicidae
Source: RefSeq, a predicted model, not a curated record